Molecule: long non-coding RNA, 284 nt
Filed under: Sorghum bicolor (sorghum)
Lineage: Eukaryota; Viridiplantae; Streptophyta; Magnoliopsida; Poales; Poaceae
Description: long non-coding RNA (SBIC_LNC012115)
Source: RNAcentral
CAUCUAGACUUAGGGUUUUAUCUGACAGAAUUCCACGAGUUUUGGUGUUUGUCUAUUUCUGCAGGGGGUUAUCAGGAAAUAAGGAAGAAAGGCCCACAUGUCGGGAUUACAUAGAGAAUUCAACGCACCGCGCAAUUUUCUACCAUCUAGAAGACUCCAGAAGCCACGGGAAGGAAGCGGAGGCCGAAAGGGGCCAGGCCCAGGGCGCCCGCCCUGAGGACCUGGGCGCCCGCCCCCUGUUGGAUGCCAAUCAGGACUCUCUUCGCUCGGGAUGUUCCACCGAC